GAAUAUUGGUCAAUGGACGCAAGUCUGAACCAGCCAUGCCGCGUGCAGGAUGACGGCCCUAUGGGUUGUAAACUGCUUUUGUCAGGGAAUAAAUCGCGUUACGUGUAAUGCGUUGAAGGUACCUGAAGAAUAAGGAUCGGCUAACUCCGUGCCAGCAGCCGCGGUAAUACGGAGGAUCCAAGCGUUAUCCGGAUUUAUUGGGUUUAAAGGGUGCGUAGGCGGUAAAUUAAGUCAGAGGUGAAAGCCUGCAGCUCAACUGUAGAACUGCCUUUGAUACUGGUUUACUUGAGUACAGAUGAAGUGGGCGGAAUGUGACAAGUAGCGGUGAAAUGCAUAGAUAUGUCACAGAACACCGAUUGCGAAGGCAGCUCACUAAAGUGUAUCUGACGCUGAGGCACGAAAGCGUGGGGAUCAAACAGG
Molecule: ribosomal RNA, 420 nt
Filed under: uncultured bacterium
Lineage: Bacteria
Description: bacterial SSU rRNA
Rfam family: Bacterial small subunit ribosomal RNA
Source: RNAcentral